RNAcentral lists this ribosomal RNA (272 nucleotides) under uncultured Clostridium sp. RNAcentral describes it as "partial 16S ribosomal RNA". It matches the Rfam family "Bacterial small subunit ribosomal RNA", at positions 209 to 471 of the family's 1533-position model. Lineage: Bacteria; Bacillati; Bacillota; Clostridia; Eubacteriales; Clostridiaceae. The record is from RNAcentral.
UUUUUAUUUUUGCGGGGCGCUGGAUUCUUGUUUCUCCUUAUCGUCUCCCUCGCCCCGCGCAUCGUUUUCUUCCUCCACGCUUGAGGAUCUGGAGGCGCAGACGGUGUCCUCCCAUUCGGAACGCAACACAUCCUCUCCUACGGGAGGCAGCAGUGGGGAAUAUUGCACAAUGGGGGAAACCCUGAUGCAGCAACGCCGCGUGAGUGAUGACGGCCUUCGGAUUGUAAAACUCUGUCUUUGGGGACGAUAAUGACGUACCAAGAGAGACUAUU